RNAcentral lists this long non-coding RNA (5548 nucleotides) under Homo sapiens (human). RNAcentral describes it as "HSALNT0319334". Lineage: Eukaryota; Metazoa; Chordata; Mammalia; Primates; Hominidae. The record is from RNAcentral.
CCCACUUAACGUGGUGCCCAGGUGAUUCACAUGCACUGUGAAGUUUGAUCAAAUGCUCUGGAUUGCCCCUAAACCAAAGCAUCUCCAUCAAGUUUUCUACCUUGUCCUCUGGGGCAAAUAAGCAAGAAAAUAAUCUCUUUUCUCUCAGUUUCCUUAGGUUUUGAUUUCUCUAAGAAUAAGUACAUUGUAAUAUGAGGAAUUUGACAUAUGAUCUAGAAAUUAGAUUGCUAGAUUCAGCAAGUAUAAAUACGCAAUACCCAGUACAGUAUAAUUUCAGAUAAACGACACAGAAUUUUUCAGUAUAAGCAUAUCCAUAUGAUAUUUGGGACAUACUUAUGUUAAAUCCAGAGCAUGCAAUAUUUGGGACAUACACAGACUUAAAAAAUGUAUUGUUUAUGUGAAAUUCAACUUUAACUUGGUUUAAAAAAAUUCCACUAGGUAUCUUAUAUUUUAUCUGGUAAACCUAUCUAGAAAGGAUUGUUUGGGUUCCAUAUUUUCUGCUGAAACCUUCACAGGAUUUCUCCUUUUUAGGCACUACAGUUGUGAUGAGGCAAUUGCAACAUUUGAAAAGACCCCAGGGAGUUUGCAUUAAAUGCGUUUCACAAGAGUGAAUGAUGGAACAGAACACCAUGUACAAAGACACAGUCAUCCAACACCCAAGCACAAAUGGCACAAGUUAAACAUGUGACGGCUUGAUGUAUGACAGGUAAUUUGUUUUGCACGUCCAUUUCCAUUUACAUAUGAACUUAAAAACUGUUUACAUUGCUUUUAGGAGUUGCAUUUUAAUAUGCUGGUAUGCUAUUUUUCCCUUCAAGAGAAAAAUUUCAUUUAAAUGUGACUAGUUACUUGGAGAAAAUAGGAUUAUAUAUUCAGGUUUUAUUAUUCCACAAAAUGAAAUUAUUUUGUUUCACUUAGAAUGCCUAUGACGUAAACCACCCUUCACAUCUAUCCAUCUCCACUCUUCUCAAUUUAAAUCAAAUUUUAAAAAAGAAAGAAAAAUGGUUUUUAGCCUUUUUUUUUCCCAUUCUGACUCUUUUAUUGCAUCUUGGAUAUAUUUGACCAAUACAAGCAUAUUUAUACUUCUCAAUCCAAAUUAUAAUCCCCUCUACCUAUUCAUUCCUAAGGUAUAUUUAUUUCUUAGGACAUCAGCAAAGAAUUAAACAGUAUUCUCAGAUGUGCUGGUCAUUCUCUCUGUCAUGAGUUAACUUAAUUGAAAUUAGCCUAAAGAUAUUAAUGUUAUCUGGAAAAAUGAACAUGGGAGAAGAGUUAGGAAAAUUUUGGAAAAAAAUAAUUGGAAAGAAGGUGACCCUUAUUACCCAAUAUUAAAACAUAUUAUGAAGCUACAAUAAUUAAAAACAUUCAGUAAUGGAGAAUAAAUAGGUUAAUAAAACAUAAUAAAAUAUCCAGAAAUAGACCUAAAUAUAUAUGGGAACUUAGUUUAUGAGAAAGCUGGCAUUUCAAAUUAGUGAGAAAAAGAGGGGUUAUUCAUUCAGUGAUAUUCAUACAAGUGGCUAACUGGAAAAAAAAUCAGGCCAGAUAGCUACCUCAUUUUUUACCCCCAAAUACAAUCCUGCUUAUGACAUAUUUACAUGUGAAGGAGAAAAAAAAAAACAAUUCUAGAAGAAAUCUCAGCUAAAUUUAUUUAUACACUUUAAAUGAGAGUUUUCCUAAGAAACCUAUAAUCCAAAAAAGAAACAUAUAUUUCUUUUAUAUGUAUUAAAUAUAUAUAUUUAAUUACAUAAAAUGAAAAUCUUUUGUAUGAAAAUAAAUCACAGAGUGGGAAAACUAAUAACCACAAUAUGCGGCAAAUAUAACAAAUGGCAAAUUUCUUUAAUUUGCAAAGAACUCAUACAAAUCAGGUGCCAAAUAGAAGAAUGGGCAAAGGCUAGGGAAGCACUUUACAGAAAAGGAAAUAUAAAUAGUGAGUAAACAUAUGAAAAGAUGUUCAAACCCAUAAUUAUGGAAAUACAGAUCAAAGCAAUGAGAUUUUUUCCCCCACCAAGCAGAGUGGAAAUUUUUAAUGUUUGAUGAUAUCCAGAGCUGAUACAGGCUUGGAGGAAAUAAAGGGGGUCUCUCAUACAUUUUGCAGGGAGAGUGCACUUUUCUGAAUGAUAAUUAAGCAAGAUGUCUGAAAAUUUAAAAAGCACAUGCCUUUUACGUCACCUGUGCUACUGCUCAGAAUCUAUCCUAUGGAGAUGCUCUGAAAUAUUCACCAAGAUAUAUGCACAAGGAUGUUCAUUUAAAAAUAAUAUUAAAAAAUGGGAAACCACCAAAGUGUCCAUUCAUAGAGAAUUAGUUUUAAAUUAUAAGUCCACACAAUGGGAUUGUAUGCCGCUAUUUAAAAGUCAUUAAAAAGAAAAAGGAGACACAACAUGUUAUCUGGAAAAGUUACCAAGAUAUAUCAUUAAGUUCAAAAUGACAGCAACAAAAACCAAGUACAGAACACCAUGACUAUAUGAUCAUCACCUAUGUGAAAUAAAAACCAACACAAAUCCAGGUAGAUACAUCAUACUUAUAUGUAUCUCUGUGUGUACAUGUGUGCAAGUGUGUGCAUACACAUGUACAAACAUAUAUUCUGCCCCUACCCCAAGAAAUUAUUGGAAGGUGAUUACAAUGGAGAUCUGCCCUUUUAAUGUGGUGUCUUUCUGAACAAUUCAAUUUUUCUAACAUUAUAGCAUCUGUAACUUUUAUUUAUUCAUUGAAUGUCUAUAGAAGCAGAGAAAACAAUGGGCCUUGUUUUCUAUGGUAAAUCCUGGUAAAACACUGCAUUUCACAUAUAAAAUAAAGAAAAAAUCAUUUUUGUGGCCUACCUCCAAAUCACUUUCUUAUUUUUCAGCUGAUUACAGGAACUCCAUGGUUUUGAAAUUAAAAGCAGUUAAUGCCCUUUAUAUUUGUAUAUUUAAGAGAAAAAUUCCUGGUCUUGAAUUAAAAAGCUAAUUUCCAAAAGAAAUGACAAAGAAUCACCCAACCUCUCAAUUUAAAAAAAUCUAGAUGAAAAGAGGUCACUGUCACCCAGAGGGGGGUUCAGGUUGUUCUGUUGGCAUCCUUCAAGCACUUUAAAUUAUUAAACAAACUCAGAUCUACAGCACUUUUCAAAUCUUUCUGAGCAGUCCUUCAACCUAACAGUGCCCUCUUCUGGUUCCAUAAAUUACAUUCACUGUGGUUCACUGAGGUAGAGAAAAAGAAUAAUUUAUAGAAGACGAUAGGAAAAUUCGCAUUGAAAUCUGGGAGAAAAGAGUUGUUUUCCUUGUUAGCAUAUAAAAGCAAAAGUCCAGUUUAAAUAAAAUGUAUAUAAUUAUUACCUAUUAUACAUGUACUAUAUAUGUUAAUUUGUGUGUAUAUAUUUAUGAUAUAUGGUAUACUAUUUAUAUAAUUUAAUAUAUAAAAUACAUAGUAUAAAAACUAAUAUCAUGCAUGAUCUAAAUAGUCCAGUUUGAUAGCAGCGGCUCUAAGUUGGAACUGUUUUGAUCUCAAGUCAAAUAUUUAUUAUAAAUCUAAACUACCUGGGUUUGAUUAAAUUUUUAUUUCCCAUUUUAUUAAUAGGCAUAUUUAACUGAAUUUACUAAAUCUAUAGCUAUAAAACAAAUUACCUUCAAUUUUUAUUCUCAAAGUUUUCAGUCUUGCAGAGAUUUGAGAUCCAUGUAAAAAGGCAGUAAAAACGUGACUUCACUUUGAGAAAUAGUCAUUCUUGAAUUUCACACUCCCUAUCUUCACUCCAAUUUUUUAAAAGAGUUUCUGACUGAUGAAUCUGCACUAAAAGGUCUUCUGCUGUCUAGGUGACCCACCAGAAGGACUGUACUCAUGAUGGAGAAUGAGGAAACAUUCCGAGGCAAGCCACUGGCCAUUUUCAGAUUUUCUAAACAGCGGCUAGGCAACAGCACCCCCUGCUGCCCCGCAAACUAACAUGCACCUUCCACAGUAGGAGGCCCGGAUGCAAGACGGGAAAGCAAGCAGGCUUCUCACUUACUAAGGCAGCAAAUAAUUUGUUAAGCGCAUAUUGUUACUAAGAUAUUGUAGAGGUGGGAGGUGGGGAAGAAUCCACAGAGAAGUGGAACCCUCAUUGUUGUCUCUCAAGGAACUUUCCAUUCAGUUGGGAACACAUAUGACGUAAUGAAACUCCUGAAUGUAGGGCGUGGAGACAUUGAUGAGUUGGUGCUCGAUCUGAGAAACAGUGGAGAGCCGCUCUCCACAUUUAACCAUCCCCAAAUGGUGCCAGUCGUCUAAAGACAUGCCUGAACAAGUGACAGUGUUUGACAGACCUUAUAUCUCCUUUCUAUCACACCAAAAUCUCUGUAGUGAGCUCAGGCAAUGUUUUGACCUGCUGGUGUGCUGAUGCACUUCAGGAUAAAAAGAAUUGGUCCACAUUGUAGCAAUAACUUCCAGGAAGAAACGAGUGAGGGAUUCGUGAUAGGUGAGUUUCAUUCUGAAGGAAUGUCUAUACAACCUAGACAGUGAGACCUCACAGACAAAGCCCUCCAGAAUUUCCAAGAGGCAUUUUUCAGCACGGAACGAUGCCAAAAGACAUCAUGAAGUUGUGUCUGGAGAGCAAAGCAGAUUGGACCAGAUUAUCUCUACAAUUUCUUCCAGUGCAAACACUCUGUGAAUGAAGGCACUUGCCUUCUCUCUAAACUGGAAGCCUCUUGAGGGCAGGACUGCAUCUACCUCCUCUCUGUACCCCUGCAGCACCCAGUACAGUGCCCAGCAAUGGACUGGAACCAAACCAGCAGAGCAAAACCAGGUGAGAGGAUACCUUGAGGACACCUUCAGCAACCCAUCUGAAACUAGAUAGCUGUCCUCUGAAAGGCAGCUUUUAUAUAACUAAGAUCACAUUGCAAUGAUGCCAAAUGUCUGAGAAACUCUUGGAAUUACACAAGGAAUUUAAAAAUAUGCAAUAUCAUUUGAAAACCAGCAGGAUACAGAGGGACAGGAGAAACAGAAAGGAAGACAGUAGAAAAGAGGAAGAGUUCCCCAAUCAAAUGCUAUUUAUUAGGAUUUCCCUCUUAUCCAGUAGUUAAAUGAAAUUUCUACAUCAAAGAAAAUCUCUGAGCACUCAGUAAUUUGUCUCUCCAGGGAACGGGAAUUCAGGCGGCUUUUAAAAAUAUCAUGGGGCCCAGCUAAUGUCCAGAAGUCAUCAUUAGAGAGCUGGAGUAGGUUAGAAGGAUGAAGUUUCGUUUGUCAGCCUCCUCCUGGUUCUCUGUAAGAGCCAUCAGUGGAUCCCGCCUAGAAGGGCUUAGCCCUCUUGAAGGGAAAGGCGCCAGCUUUGGAGCCCAGCGGUUGUCUGGUGGAUUUUAUUAUUAGAUUGGAGGUUCCACACAAUGUAAUUAAAGCCCUAUGGCCAUAGCGGCACCAAUGUCACAGGCCUGACUUUUUCUAUUGCAGCUGAUAAAUCUGCAGGCAGAUGGACAAUGUUCUCUUUCCUUUUGCCUCUGUGUGUGUGUAGGAAGAGAUGUGGAUGGACACAUCCCUCAAAAUCAUUUGGCAAGCACUAAUUCAGUUGAAAUGAUGCUUGGCAAGCUCUAGUCAUAACAAAGCAGCCUCAGAAAGGCCU